UACGGAGGGUGCGAGCGUUGUCCGGAAUCACUGGGCGUAAAGGGCGCGUAGGUGGCUUGGCAAGCGUGUGGUGAAAGCCCGGGGCUCAACCCCGGGUCUGCCGUGCGAGCUGCUAUGGCUUGAGCACUGUAGAGGCAGGUAGAAUUCCGGGUGUAGCGGUGGAAUGCGUAGAGAUCCGGAAGAAUACCGGUGGCGAAGGCGGCCUGCUGGGCAGUGGCUGACACUGAGGCGCGACAGCGUGGGGAGCAAACAGG
Molecule: ribosomal RNA, 254 nt
Filed under: uncultured bacterium
Lineage: Bacteria
Description: partial 16S ribosomal RNA
Rfam family: Bacterial small subunit ribosomal RNA
Source: RNAcentral